Molecule: ribosomal RNA, 253 nt
Filed under: uncultured bacterium
Lineage: Bacteria
Description: partial 16S ribosomal RNA
Rfam family: Bacterial small subunit ribosomal RNA
Source: RNAcentral
UACGUAGGGUCCGAGCGUUGUCCGGAAUUACUGGGCGUAAAGGGCUCGUAGGCGGCCAACUAAGUCAGACGUGAAAUCCCUCGGCUUAACCGGGGAACUGCAUCUGAUACUGGAUGGCUUGAGAUUGGGAGAGGGAUGCGGAAUUCCAGGUGUAGCGGUGAAAUGCGUAGAUAUCUGGAGGAACACCGGUGGCGAAGGCGGCAUCCUGGACCAACACUGACGCUGAGGAGCGAAAGCCAGGGGAGCAAACGGG